Molecule: non-coding RNA, 29 nt
Filed under: Rattus norvegicus (Norway rat)
Lineage: Eukaryota; Metazoa; Chordata; Mammalia; Rodentia; Muridae
Source: RNAcentral
AAGGAGAUAAAAGGAGGGUUUCUUUGCUC